UCUAGAGGCUUCGUCAAUGGGGGCAACCCUGAACGAGCGACGCCGCGUGUGGGAUUGAAGGCCUUCGGGUCGUAAACCACUGUCGAGUGGGAAGAAUGCCUCUAUGGCGAAUAGAGGAGCGACGGUACCACUAUAGGAAGCCCCGGCUAACUCCGUGCCAGCAGCCGCGGUAAUACGGAGGGGGCAAGCGUUGUUCGGAUUUACUGGGCGUAAAGGGUGUGUAGGCGGCUGGAUAAGUCUGGCGUGAAAUCUUCACCGCUUAACGGGAAGGGGUCGCUGGAAACUGUUCAGCUUGAGUAUGGUAGAGGCAAGCGGAAUUCCUGGUGUAGCGGUGGAAUGUGUAGAUAUCAGGAAGAACACCGGUGGCGAAGGCGGCUUGCUGGGCCAUCACUGACGCUGAGACACGAAAGCGUGGGGAGCAAACGGGAUUAGAUACCCGCGUAGUCC
RNAcentral lists this ribosomal RNA (447 nucleotides) under uncultured bacterium. RNAcentral's name for it is "bacterial SSU rRNA". It matches the Rfam family "Bacterial small subunit ribosomal RNA", at positions 355 to 796 of the family's 1533-position model. The record is from RNAcentral.